RNAcentral lists this ribosomal RNA (730 nucleotides) under Escherichia coli. RNAcentral's name for it is "bacterial SSU rRNA". It matches the Rfam family "Bacterial small subunit ribosomal RNA", at positions 77 to 803 of the family's 1533-position model. The record is from RNAcentral. Lineage: Bacteria; Pseudomonadati; Pseudomonadota; Gammaproteobacteria; Enterobacterales; Enterobacteriaceae.
AGCUUGCUGCUUCGCUGACGAGUGGCGGACGGGUGAGUAAUGUCUGGGAAACUGCCUGAUGGAGGGGGAUAACUACUGGAAACGGUAGCUAAUACCGCAUAACGUCGCAAGACCAAAGAGGGGGACCUUCGGGCCUCUUGCCAUCGGAUGUGCCCAGAUGGGAUUAGCUAGUAGGUGGGGUAACGGCUCACCUAGGCGACGAUCCCUAGCUGGUCUGAGAGGAUGACCAGCCACACUGGAACUGAGACACGGUCCAGACUCCUACGGGAGGCAGCAGUGGGGAAUAUUGCACAAUGGGCGCAAGCCUGAUGCAGCCAUGCCGCGUGUAUGAAGAAGGCCUUCGGGUUGUAAAGUACUUUCAGCGGGGAGGAAGGGAGUAAAGUUAAUACCUUUGCUCAUUGACGUUACCCGCAGAAGAAGCACCGGCUAACUCCGUGCCAGCAGCCGCGGUAAUACGGAGGGUGCAAGCGUUAAUCGGAAUUACUGGGCGUAAAGCGCACGCAGGCGGUUUGUUAAGUCAGAUGUGAAAUCCCCGGGCUCAACCUGGGAACUGCAUCUGAUACUGGCAAGCUUGAGUCUCGUAGAGGGGGGUAGAAUUCCAGUGUAGCGGUGAAAUGCGUAGAGAUCUGGAGGAAUACCGGUGGCGAAAGCGGCCCCCUGGACGAAGACUGACGCUCAGUGCGAAAGCGUGGGGAGCAAACAGAUUAGAUACCCUGGUAGUCCACGCCGU